This 1148-nucleotide ribosomal RNA is filed under the name uncultured Rozellomycota. RNAcentral's name for it is "SSU rRNA". It matches the Rfam family "Eukaryotic small subunit ribosomal RNA", at positions 474 to 1707 of the family's 1831-position model. The record is from RNAcentral. Lineage: Eukaryota; Fungi; Rozellomycota.
UAAAUAACAAUGUGGGGCCCUUUGGGUCUCGCAAUUGGAAUGAGAACAAUUUAAAUCCGUUAACGAGUAACAAUUGGAGGGCAAGUCUGGUGCCAGCAGCCGCGGUAAUUCCAGCUCCAAUAGCGUAUAUUAAAGUUGUUGCAGUUAAAAAGCUCGUAGUUGGACUUUUGAGGCGCGUGGGGUUGGUCCCGUCAAACGGACUGGUCACACGACCUCUUUUCCGGUGGGGCAACCCGCUAGGUUACUGUGAAGAAAUUAGAGUGUUCAAAGCAGGCUAUCGCUUGAAUACAUCAGCAUGGAAUAACAAGUUACGGCUUGUUGGUUGGCAAGUACCUUUUUUAAUAGGAACAGUUGGGGGCAUUGGUAUUUAGCAGUCAGAGGUGAAAUUCUUGGAUUUGCUAAAGACCAACUAGUGCGAAAGCAUCUGCCAAGGAUGUUUUCAUUAAUCAAGAACGAAAGUUAGGGGAUCGAAGACGAUCAGAUACCGUCGUAGUCUUAACUAUAAACGAUGCCGACUCGGGAUCGGUAGAUGUCGGAUUGCGACACUAUCGGGACCGUGUGUGAAAACAAAGUUUUUGGGUUCUGGGGGAGUAUGGUCGCAAGGCUGAAACUUAAAGGAAUUGACGGAAGGGCACCACCAGGAGUGGAGCCUGCGGCUUAAUUUGACUCAACACGGGAAAACUCACCAGGUCCGGACAUGGGAAGGAUUGACAGAUUGAGAGCUCUUUCAUGAUUCUGUGGGUGGUGGUGCAUGGCCGUUCUUAGUUGGUGGAGUGAUUUGUCUGGUUAAUUCCGAUAACGAACGAGACCUUUUCCACUAACUAGUCUGCCGGUUCGAGGGAACUGGCAACUUCUUAGCGGGACUGACUGCGGUUAGCAGUCGGAAGUUGGAGGCAAUAACAGGUCUGUGAUGCCCUUAGAUGUUCUGGGCUGCACGCGCGCUACACUGACAAAGGCAACGAGUAUACCUUCACCGAGAGGUGUGGGAAAUCUUGUGAAACUUUGUCGUGCUGGGGAUAGAUCAUUGCAAUUAUUGGUCUUGAACGAGGAAUUCCUAGUAAGCGCAAGUCAUCAGCUUGCGUUGAUUACGUCCCUGCCCUUUGUACACACCGCCCGUCGCUACUACCGAUUGAAUGGCUUAGUGAGGC